GAUGAACGCUAGCGGGAGGCCUAACACAUGCAAGCCGAGCGGUAUUGUUUCUUCGGAAAUGAGAGAGCGGCGUACGGGUGCGUAACACGUGUGCAACCUGCCUUUAUCUGGGGGAUAGCCUUUCGAAAGGAAGAUUAAUACUCCAUAAUAUAUUGAACGGCAUCGUUUAAUAUUGAAAGCUCCGGCGGAUAGAGAUGGGCACGCGCAAGAUUAGCUAGUUGGUGAGGAACGGCUCACCAAGGCGAUGAUCUUUAGGGGGCCUGAGAGGGUGAUCCCCACACUGGUACUGAGACACGGACCAGACUCCUACGGGAGGCAGCAGUGGAGGAAUAUUGGUCAAUGGGUGCAAGCCUGAACAG
Molecule: ribosomal RNA, 359 nt
Filed under: uncultured bacterium
Lineage: Bacteria
Description: bacterial SSU rRNA
Rfam family: Bacterial small subunit ribosomal RNA
Source: RNAcentral